CACAUGCAAGUCGAGCGGAUGAAGGGAGCUUGCUCCCUGAUUUAGCGGCGGACGGGUGAGUAAUGCCUAGGAAUCUGCCUGGUAGUGGGGAUAACGUUCCGAAAGGAACGCUAAUACCGCAUACGUCCUACGGGAGAAAGCAGGGGACCUUCGGGCCUUGCGCUAUCAGAUGAGCCUAGGUCGGAUUAGCUAGUUGGUGAGGUAAUGGCUCACCAAGGCGACGAUCCGUAACUGGUCUGAGAGGAUGAUCAGUCACACUGGAACUGAGACACGGUCCAGACUCCUACGGGAGGCAGCAGUGGGGAAUAUUGGACAAUGGGCGAAAGCCUGAUCCAGCCAUGCCGCGUGUGUGAAGAAGGUCUUCGGAUUGUAAAGCACUUUAAGUUGGGAGGAAGGGCAGUAAGCUAAUACCUUGCUGUUUUGACGUUACCGACAGAAUAAGCACCGGCUAACUUCGUGCCAGCAGCCGCGGUAAUACGAAGGGUGCAAGCGUUAAUCGGAAUUACUGGGCGUAAAGCGCGCGUAGGUGGUUCGUUAAGUUGGAUGUGAAAGCCCCGGGCUCAACCUGGGAACUGCAUCCAAAACUGGCGAGCUAGAGUACGGUA
Molecule: ribosomal RNA, 605 nt
Filed under: uncultured Pseudomonas sp.
Lineage: Bacteria; Pseudomonadati; Pseudomonadota; Gammaproteobacteria; Pseudomonadales; Pseudomonadaceae
Description: bacterial SSU rRNA
Rfam family: Bacterial small subunit ribosomal RNA
Source: RNAcentral